Long non-coding RNA from Setaria italica (foxtail millet), 1866 nucleotides. RefSeq lists it as uncharacterized. The record is from RefSeq and is a predicted model, not a curated record. Lineage: Eukaryota; Viridiplantae; Streptophyta; Magnoliopsida; Poales; Poaceae. The transcript has 5 exons.
AUAACGUAAACAUGAGAACAAAAGUGUAUUUCUAACUCCCGUCUUCUGUACGCCUUCGUCAGUUCAUGACAGUUGGCACCCCUUCCCCGUUCGUCUGCAAGACUGCAAACAUGGAUCUCUAGGUGCGGCGGCGGCGCGACCUGCUGGACCGGCGACCUCCGCUGCCUCCUCCCUCCCCCUGCCGGGCAUUCGUGCGUCUGUAUCUACCCUCAGUGCGAGUGGCGACGGCCCUUCUUUCUUCAUGGCGGCAGCACGCUCCCGUACUGGCGACCUCAUCUGGAGCGGCAGAUCCCGGCGGCAAGGCAGCCCUGGUGAGGACCGACCUGCGCACGGGAGGCCAAAGUCGUGCUGUCCCGCGGAUUAGGCUGUCAAGCGAUUCUGGUAUAUCAGGGCGCAACAAAAGAUUGAAGUAUUCAGGUUUCUGAUUUUUUUUGGAUUGAUCGGGGAUCCAGCCCUGCGGCCAUAGGCUCCAGAGAUUCCAGAUUGAUCUGUUCAGCAAUUCUGUUACAAAGAGGAACUUGGAACUUGCGGUGUUCGAUAGAAUGUGCAAGCAAAGCGUUUCAGGUUGCAAGCAAAGUGGUUGUGGAUCCCCUCAUCGUGCCUUCUAAAAUCCAUUUAGGCCACCUCGCCAUUCCAAUCAAUCCUGUCUCAUCCACUCGUCAGAUCGAGCGACCGCCGCACCAUCGUCGUCAUCUUCGCCGGCGUUUAUCCCUUCUGAAUGAAUAGGAAGGGGCUUUCCAUCCUUGAUGGGGUCAAAGAGAUAUUUGCCAGUUGCCAUUCUAGAUUUUCCCAAAAGAGAUCAUAUGAUCUUAAUUUUAUAGUUAUUUUAGAUGAUUUAGGCAGUGAGAUUGUUACAUGAAUGGUCCGGUGUUGUUCACCUUCUAAUUCCUGUGAUCUGUAGACUGUGAUCCUUUCACGAACUGCUCGCUGUCUUGUUCCUGAUGCAGGGGAUGCAGGGGAGGGUGAUAGGGCUGUUUUUUUUUGUGCCUGCUACAUAGGCAUUCAGGAAGCACAGUAAGCACCCGAGAUUGAAGUUCGAUUUAUUGGGCAAACGUGCUUGCGAUCUCCAGUUAAAGCAAUGAGGAUGUUCAAUGAUAAGCUGCUGCACAGCAAUUUUUGACGUAUAACUGAUGUAAAUGGCUAGUACAGGACGAACACUAACACUAUGCUCACUUGGGCUGCGGACGAGCAUGCAACUGCAAGUUGUUAGGUGUGACUACUUCCCAAUUCAUCUUGAUGAAUAUAUUCUGAUCAUUCUGCAUCAGUCCCCAUUUUGGUAACUGGCUAACUGUAAGGUCACAUUGGUCAUGGUUUCAUCAGGCCUGGAAAUAACUUUGAUCAACAUACAGUAAAUGCCUGGAUUACCCCACUAGUCAGUGAAAAAAUGGAUUAUACCAUACCUAAGAGUGCCAGAUAGUUAAAUCUAGUUUAGUCCUUUUUUUAGGGGAUGUGGCUUCCUUGGCAAAUGCAGGGGAGACUUCAAUUCGACCAGCAGCUUCCAGUAUUCUGGAGAUUUUGAUGCCACAGAUGGGUAGUAGAAUAAAUGCUCCACACAUGCUGCUACUGAACUGGAGAUGCUGUCUGCAGUGGCAUCUAAGAAUCCCAACCAAAGUGAGAAUGAUGAACGAAUGUAUGCUGCAAACUGCGCCUUAGUUUAGGUCCUGAGCUGUUCUUCACGCAACAAAGAAGUACACUGGCUUUGAUGGUCUUCAAUCCUGAUGUCUGGUGUCAACAAAUACAAAGACCUACUGUCUUUUUUGUAGUACCUUUGAUUUGUUUGGUUUCGACAGACAAAUUUAUUUCUGUUCUAUGCACACAAAAAACUCGAUAAGGGUGCUAUGCUUAGUCUCAUUUUGCUAUUUUCUA